Molecule: non-coding RNA, 181 nt
Filed under: Bacillus altitudinis
Lineage: Bacteria; Bacillati; Bacillota; Bacilli; Caryophanales; Bacillaceae
Also listed under: 1 other name
Description: glmS
Rfam family: glmS glucosamine-6-phosphate activated ribozyme aptamer
About the family: This entry contains a glucosamine-6-phosphate activated ribozyme that is found in the mRNA for GlmS. GlmS is an enzyme that uses fructose-6-phosphate and glutamine to generate glucosamine-6-phosphate.
Source: RNAcentral
CUUAUAAUUAUAGCGCCCGAACUAAGCGAUCGAACGAGACAGAUGCUUAGUUGACGAGGAUGGAGGUUAUCGAAUUUUUCGGCGGAUGCCUCCCGGCUGAUCAAAUAUAGAGAUCACAGCCGUAAGUGUUUCUUUAAAGCAAAGAGGUGACUCUUUGUACAAAGGGAAUACACAUGAUCUC